UGGGGAAUUUUGGACAAUGGGCGCAAGCCUGAUCCAGCCAUGCCGCGUGCAGGAUGAAGGCCUUGGGUUGUAAACUGCUUUUGUACGGAACGAAAAGACUCCUUCUAAUAAAGGGGUCCAUGACGGUACCGUAAGAAUAAGCACCGGCUAACUACGUGCC
Molecule: ribosomal RNA, 160 nt
Filed under: uncultured bacterium
Lineage: Bacteria
Description: partial 16S ribosomal RNA
Rfam family: Bacterial small subunit ribosomal RNA
Source: RNAcentral